Molecule: long non-coding RNA, 1160 nt
Organism: Cucumis melo (muskmelon)
Lineage: Eukaryota; Viridiplantae; Streptophyta; Magnoliopsida; Cucurbitales; Cucurbitaceae
Exons: 4
Source: RefSeq, a predicted model, not a curated record
CCCUUUAAUCUCCCCCUUCUUUUCCAAAAACUCUCACCCACGCCUCCAUCAUCUCCACGUCUACCGCCUCUCCCUACUGCUCUCUAUCUACGUCGAUCGGCACAGUACGUUCUCAUCAUCACAAAUGCCGGAGGUCCUCACAAACCCCUCUUCUCCCCCUUUUCUUUUCGGCAAAAGGCACUCCCCACACCCCUCAGAAUUUUUCACUCUGCUAUUAUCUCCAGCUUCUUCUCCAGUGUCGGUGAGCGAGCAGCUCUCUCCACGAACUUCAGUCGCCCGCACGAACCCGUUCUCGAUCUUCACCCAUCCACCCUUUUCUUCACCCACCCACUCGUUUUCUUCACCCAUUUAUUUAUCAUCCGAUAUUCACAACUGCGGCCCCCACCCCUCGAACGUCAAAUGUCGGUCCUACCUCCACCGUUGUUCUUUUUUGCGUGCAACCCACGGGCCUUGACGAUUUUUCAAUCUUAGUAGAAUUUGAAAAUUAAAUACCAAAAAAACAACAUUUUGGAAAGCGAUAAAGUGUCCUUUACAAGUAGGUACUAUUGAAUGUGGAUAUUAUGUCAUGAGACACAUGCGCGAAAUCGUGAGUAAGGAUACAAACAUUAUUACUGAUGCGAUUGAUACAAGAAUUUGAAGCUGAAAUGUUGAUGUAAGAUAGUUAAGAGGAUUCUAAGAAACUAUGUAAAAGGAAGUUUCUUAAUUUGAUGAGUGGAGUUUUAGUUAUGAUAUUUGGAUGUUGAAUCAUGAAUAUGGAUUCUACAUGAAGUCUAGGCAGUGAGGUUGUGCUGAUGAGUGUUAGCUGAUCAUUGGGGAGGUUGUGCAUGAAGUGUGUGCAUGAAUUGUGUGCAUGAAAUGAUAAAUUGAGGCGUUAAGCAGAUGCAAGGCAUAGCCUACACACAUAGCUAGGCGACAUGUGAGAUGCGGGCGCAACAAGUCACAUCGCGAGGUUUUAGGUUUAGGUCACUUUUUAUGUUUUAGUAAUUUUAAGUCAAGUUUGGACUAUUUUAGGAUUAAGAAGGUUAAUUCAAGAUUAAAUUCUCUUAUUUUGAAACAAAAAAAGAUUGGACAAAUUUAUAGACCUAAAAGAGUUAGCUCAAAUUUGUGAGUGAUGUUUAAAUGCUUAUUAACAUAGUUUUCAAGCUAAAAUAUUUUGAGCA